This 253-nucleotide ribosomal RNA is filed under the name uncultured bacterium. Its description in RNAcentral is "partial 16S ribosomal RNA". It matches the Rfam family "Bacterial small subunit ribosomal RNA", at positions 524 to 776 of the family's 1533-position model. The record is from RNAcentral.
UACGUAGGGUGCAAGCGUUGUCCGGAAUUAUUGGGCGUAAAGAGCUCGUAGGCGGUCUGUCGCGUCUGCUGUGAAAACCUGGGGCUUAACCCCGGGCCUGCAGUGGGUACGGGCAGACUAGAGUGUGGUAGGGGAGACUGGAAUUCCUGGUGUAGCGGUGAAAUGCGCAGAUAUCAGGAGGAACACCGGUGGCGAAGGCGGUUCUCUGGGCAUUACCUGACGCUGAGGAGCGAAAGUGUGGGGAGCGAACAGG